This 762-nucleotide long non-coding RNA is filed under the name Nicotiana tabacum (common tobacco). RNAcentral's name for it is "long non-coding RNA (NTAB_LNC002584)". It matches the Rfam family "Bacterial small subunit ribosomal RNA", at positions 190 to 966 of the family's 1533-position model. The record is from RNAcentral. Lineage: Eukaryota; Viridiplantae; Streptophyta; Magnoliopsida; Solanales; Solanaceae.
UAGGCUGAGGAGCAAAAGGAGGAAUCUGCCCGAGGAGGGGCUCGCGUCUGAUUAGCUAGUUGGUGAGGCAAUAGCUUACCAAGGCGAUGAUCAGUAGCUGGUCCGAGAGGAUGAUCAGCCACAUUGGGACUGAGACAUGGCCCAAACUCCUACGGGAGGCAGCAGUGGAGAAUUUUUCGCAAUGGGCGAAAACCUGACGGAGCAAUGCCGCGUGAAAGUAGAAGGCCCACGGGUCGUGAACUUCUUUUUCCGGAGAAGAAGCAAUGACGGUAUCUGGGGAAUAAGCAUCGGCUAACUUUGUGCCAGCAGCCGCGGUAAUACAGAGGAUGCAAGCGUUAUCCGGAAUGAUUGGGCGUAAAGCGUCUGUAGGUGACUUUUUAAGUCCGCCAUCAAAUCCCAGGGCUCAACCUUGGACAGGCGGUAGAAACUACCAAGCUGGAGUACGGUAGGGGCACAGGGAAUUUCCGAUGGAGCGGUGAAAUACGUAGAGAUCGGAAAGAACACCAACGGCGAAAGCACUCUACUGGGCCGACACUGACACUGAGAGACGAAAACUAGGGGAGCGAAUUGGAUUAGAUACCCCAGUAGUCCUAGCCGUAAGCGAUGGAUACUAGGCGAUGUGUGUAUCGACCCGUGCAGUGCUGUAGUUAACGCGUUAAGUAUCCUGCCUGGGGAGUACGUUCGCAAGAAUGAAACUCAAAGGAAUUAACGGGGGCCCGCACAAGCGGUGGAGCAUGUGGUUUAAUUCGAUGCAAAGCAAAG